Molecule: ribosomal RNA, 449 nt
Filed under: uncultured bacterium
Lineage: Bacteria
Description: bacterial SSU rRNA
Rfam family: Bacterial small subunit ribosomal RNA
Source: RNAcentral
AAUCAACGCUGGCGGCGUGCCUCAGACAUGCAAGUCGAACGCGAAAGUUUCCUUCGGGGAACAAGUAGAGUGGCGCACGGGUGAGUAACACGUAGGUAAUCUACCUUUGGAUGGGGAAUAACAACCGGAAACGGUUGCUAAUACCGCAUAAUGCAGCGGCACCUAAUGGUGACAGUUGUUAAAGCGGGGGAUCGAAAGACCUCGCGUCUGAAGAGGAGCCUGCGGCGGAUUAGCUAGNGGUAAGGUAAUGGCUUACCAAGGCGACGAUCCGUAACCGGCCUGAGAGGGCGGGUCGGUCACACUGACACUGACAUACGGGUCAGACUCCUACGGGAGCAGCAGUCGGGAAUUUUGGGCAAUGGGCGAAAGCCUGACCCAGCAACGCCGCGUGAAGGAUGAAAUCCCUCGGGAUGUAAACUUCGCAAGAACGGGAAGAAUAAGCGAGAGUU